Molecule: unclassified non-coding RNA, 200 nt
Filed under: Pleosporales sp.
Lineage: Eukaryota; Fungi; Ascomycota; Dothideomycetes; Pleosporales
Description: partial internal transcribed spacer 2
Source: RNAcentral
UUAAGUUCAGCGGGUAUCCCUACCUGAUCCGAGGUCAAGUGUAAAAAAAGGGCUUCUGGAUGCCAAUGUACCAGCAUAGAGGUCGCAAUGUGCUGCGCUCCAAGCCGAAUUACAUGGCUGCCAAUGACUUUAAGGCGAGUCCACGCGCAAAAGCGGGACAAACACCCAACACCAAGCAAAGCUUGAGGGUUCAAAUGACG